AUGUGAAGUCGUACCUGCCCAGUGAAGUUUUAACGGCCGCGGUACUCUGACCGUGCAAAGGUAGCAUAAUAAUUUGCCUUAUAAUUGAAGGCUGGAAUGAAUGGUUUGUCAAGGAUAAAACUGUCUCUAUAAAAUUCUAUAGAAUUUUAUUUUUAGGUGAAAAAGCCUAAAUUUUAUUAAAAGACAAGAAGACCCUAUCGAGCUUUAAAGAAUUUAAUAAAUACUUAUAACUAAUUAGAAAUUUAAUUAUAAAAUAUUUUGGUUGGGGCAACCUAGGAGUAAAUAAAACCUCCUUUUUUAAAAAAACUAUUAUGUUAGGAUCCAAAAAUUUUGAUCAAAAGAAAUAGUUACCGUAGGGAUAACAGCAUUAUUUUUUUUGAGAGUUCCCAUCGAAAAAAAAGUUUAUGACCUCGAUGUUGGACCAGAAUAUCCUGAAGAUGUAGAAGUCUUCAAGGGUUGGUCUGUUCGACCAUUAAAAUUCUA
Molecule: ribosomal RNA, 483 nt
Filed under: Teretiopsis cf. hyalina MNHN 17845
Lineage: Eukaryota; Metazoa; Mollusca; Gastropoda; Neogastropoda; Raphitomidae
Description: partial 16S ribosomal RNA
Rfam family: Bacterial large subunit ribosomal RNA
Source: RNAcentral